This is a long non-coding RNA of Diabrotica virgifera virgifera (western corn rootworm), 3076 nucleotides long. RefSeq lists it as uncharacterized. The transcript has 3 exons. Lineage: Eukaryota; Metazoa; Arthropoda; Insecta; Coleoptera; Chrysomelidae. The record is from RefSeq and is a predicted model, not a curated record.
CUUUGAAAUUUAGCUUUCUGGAAAGUUUUAGACCAAAAUCUUUUAUAGAAAAAAAUGAUGCAACUUUAAAUAUCGACUUUGUAAAUUACCAAAAUAACGCUUAUUUUUUGAGAUACUGACCAUGGGUGGUGAAUGGUUAAUUAGUCAAUUUAUCCAUUCCUUAUUUCAAACGUAUGUUUUUUUACCCCCGAGAAAAGGUGUCUUUCACCCUCAAGUAAAAGCAACCAACGGCACAAGUCCAACUUUGAAGUGGAGGGUAAGUAGAACCUAAACUCAAAUUUUCAAGCAAAUCCGUCGUAACGCGGAAAAUUACUUUCCAAAACGGUCAUUUUCGGCUAAAUCUAAAUAAUCUAAUUUCCACCGUCUCAUAAUAUUUAUACAAAUAUGUAACAACCAGUAUUUGAUAUGAUUUCUAUAUAAAAUACAAAAGUCACAGUACCAAUUUUACCGAUAUUAAUUUUCCUAAAACUUAAUAAAUAAAUAAAUACUUAAUCCGCUUAACCAUGGGAGCGAACUAGGUUAUGGUUUUCGGAGCGAACUAGUAUGUAAUUAAGAGGAUUUUUUGACCUUGGGAGCGAACUAGUGUGCUCCGAUUUUCUAUGUCAAAUAAAAAAUAACAAUGCCAUUUUCGCCGAUGUUAAUUUUCCUAGAACUUAGUAGAUAAAUACUUAAUCCGCUUAACCAUGGGAGCGAACCCGUAUACGGUUUUCGGAGCGAACUAGUACGUAAUUAAAAGGGUUUUUUGACCUCGGGAGCAAACUAGUGUGCUCCGAAACUGUUUUGUGCAAUUUUCACAUUCAAACAGUUUUCAGCAGUGUGCAUUCUCAUCAUAUAAAUUUUGAAGUGACCACUUAGUAAAAACUGUUUUGUGCACAUUUCACAUCCAAAUGGUUUUUCCCCACUUUGCAAAACUUCUUGGUGCAAAUUUCACAUCCAAAUAGAUUUUUAAUAGUAAGCACCACCAUAUGUAUUUUUAACUCAUAUUGCGUUACAAACUGUUUUGUAUACAUUUCACAUCUAAUGGUUUUUCACCAGUGUGCGUUCUCAUAUGAACUUUUAAGCUAGAAUUUUGUGUAAACUGCUUUGUGCAUAUUUCACAUCCAAAUGGUUUUUCACCAGUAUGCACCACCAUGUGUGUUUUUAAGUGAGUUCUUUUUAAAAACUGUUUUGUGCAUAUUUCACAACCAAAAGGUUUUUCCCCAGUAUGCAUCACCAUAUGCAUUUUUAAGUCACUAUGUGUAACAAACUGUUUUGUGCAUAUUUCACAUAUAAACAGUUUUUCACCAGUGUGCAUUCUUAUCAUAUGAAUUUUUAAGUGACCAUUUCGUAAAAACUGUUUUGUGCAUAUUUCACAUCCAAAUGGUUUUUCUCCAUUGUGAAAUCUCAAAUGUAUUUUUAAAUCAGAACUUCGCGAAAACUUUUUGUUGCAAAUUUCACAUCCAAAUAGUUUUUCAUUAGUAUGCACCACCAUAUGCAGUUUUAGCUCAUAGGGCGUUACAAACUGUUUUGGGCAUAUUUCACAUCUAAAUGGUUUUUCACCAGUGUGCGUUCUCAUAUGAACUUUUAAGCUAGAAUUUUGUGUAAACCGUCUUGUGCACAUUUCACAUCCAAAUGGUUUUUCACCAGUGUGUGUUCUCAUAUGAAGUGUUAGGUGUGCACUUCGUGAAAACUUUUUUGUACAUAUUUCACAUACAAAUGGUUUUUCUCCAGUAUGCACUUCCAUGUGUUUUUUUAAAUACCUAUUUAGUGAAAACUGUUUCUUGCAAAUUUUACAUCCAAAUGGUUUUUCACCAGUGUGAAUUCUCAAAUGUUUUUUUAAAUCGGAACUAUAAAAAAACCCUUUGGUGCAAAUUUCACAUCGAAACGGAUUUUUAUCAGUGUGCGUUCUCAUAUGAACUUUUAAGUAAGCACUUCGUGAAAACUGUUUUGUGCAUAUCUCACAUCCAAAUGGUUUUUCUCCAGUGUGAAUUCUCAAAUGUAAUUUUAAAUCAGAACUAUAUGAAAACCCUUUGGUGCAAAUUACACAUCGAAUUGGUUUUUCAUCAAUAUGCAACGUCAUAUGUUGUUUUAGAUUAUCAUUUGUAACAAAUUUGUUACUGCAAAUUUCACAUGUAAAAUGGUUUUCAGAGGAAUUAAUAUUCAUGUAAACUUUGUGUUCGCUAAGUGUGUAUUGUUCCGAGAUGGUUUCAUAUGUGACAGAUUUUUCCCUAGUGUGCUGCUGUAUCAAAUGUCUUCCUAAACUUUCCUUCAAUGCAUACUUUUUAAAACAAAUUUGACAAGCAAAAGAUUUUUCAACGGUAUUCACUUUCCUGCCGUCAGUUGUACUUUGUUUCAGUUGGUUAUUUAUAACCUGAUUUUUAAAUAGGCCGUUCCAACAUGCUGUCAAAAUUAAAUCAAUAUGGCUGCUGGAAGUAAAACAUAAAUGUUAUUCUUAAUGUGUUUUAGAUGGUUUUAGAUCACUUUUGUUGUGUUUCUUUGUAAUUUUGUGUUGUGUACAAAGAUUAAUUUAACAUUUUCUCUGGAAGUAUUAAUUUAGAAAGAUAAUAUGCUUCAUUGGUGUUGUGUUUUGAAGUGUGAAAUGCAAAGUAAUCCUGAUAAAGUCAAGAUAAAGUUCACUUUUAAACUGAACUAAAUACGGUAUCAGCUGAGAGACAACAAUGGUUAAAUGCAAUACAAUGUAAGGUUUUACUAGCGAAAUGAAAAUUCUCCUGUCCUGUCUGCUGUAAUCAUUUUAUAUCUGGAAAACCAGCCGACUUAAUCGAUAAUAACAAUCCAGAUUGGGUUCCUUCAAUAAAUAUGGGCUAUAAACACAAUGAAAUAAGUUCCCCAAAAUCUAAAAUGAAGUGGUAUCAAAGGAGAAUUAAAAGAAAAAAUAUUCAUAUUGAAAUUAUUUAUAAGGCACUGGACUGUCUUAAAUUCUACAAAUACUAGAAUCAGCUGAGAGAAGUAAGUGGUCUACAAAAAAACUAGGAAGGGAAUGGAAUAUGUGGCUACGAAAGGCAAAAGAAAUGAAUACAAAGCAAAUGUGACACAUUUUUUUAAAAAUAUGUAGGAAUAUGAGUAAACUACAUUAAAA